ACGAACGCUGGCGGCAUGCCUAACACAUGCAAGUCGAACGAGAUCUUCGGAUCUAGUGGCGCACGGGUGCGUAACGCGUGGGAAUCUGCCCUUCGGUUCGGAAUAACAGUUAGAAAUGACUGCUAAUACCGGAUGAUGACGUAAGUCCAAAGAUUUAUCGCCGAAGGAUGAGCCCGCGUAAGAUUAGCUUGUUGGUGAGGUAAAGGCUCACCAAGGCUACGAUCUUUAGCUGGUCUGAGAGGAUGAUCAGCCACACUGGGACUGAGACACGGCCCAGACUCCUACGGGAGGCAGCAGUGGGGAAUAUUGGACAAUGGGCGAAAGCCUGAUCCAGCAAUGCCGCGUGAGUGAUGAAGGCCUUAGGGUUGUAAAGCUCUUUUACCCGGGAUGAUAAUGACAGUACCGGGAGAAUAAGCUCCGGCUAACUCCGU
RNAcentral lists this ribosomal RNA (431 nucleotides) under uncultured bacterium. RNAcentral's name for it is "bacterial SSU rRNA". It matches the Rfam family "Bacterial small subunit ribosomal RNA", at positions 29 to 506 of the family's 1533-position model. The record is from RNAcentral.